This 426-nucleotide ribosomal RNA is filed under the name uncultured bacterium. RNAcentral's name for it is "bacterial SSU rRNA". It matches the Rfam family "Bacterial small subunit ribosomal RNA", at positions 354 to 796 of the family's 1533-position model. The record is from RNAcentral.
GUGGGGAAUAUUGGACAAUGGGCGCAAGCCUGAUCCAGCCAUGCCGCGUGAGUGAUGAAGGCCUUAGGGUUGUAAAGCUCUUUCAGUGGGGACGAUAAUGACGGUACCCACAGAAGAAGCCCCGGCUAACUUCGUGCCAGCAGCCGCGGUAAUACGAAGGGGGCUAGCGUUGUUCGGAUUUACUGGGCGUAAAGCGCACGCAGGCGGAUCGUUAAGUCGGGGGUGAAAUCCUGGAGCUCAACUCCAGAACUGCCUUCGAUACUGGCGAUCUUGAGUCCGGAAGAGGUGAGUGGAACUCCUAGUGUAGAGGUGGAAUUCGUAGAUAUUAGGAAGAACACCAGUGGCGAAGGCGGCUCACUGGUCCGGUACUGACGCUGAGGUGCGAAAGCGUGGGGAGCAAACAGGAUUAGAAACCCCUGGUAGUCC